GUAUAAAGUGGGAUCCAGUGAAGGCAGGCCUGUUUGACUCCGAUUUUCUCUUCUUCCAGCAGCUUGAAAUUUCAGAAGAAAGAGAAGAGGAAGAAGGUGGCAGAGCCCUGUGAGAGGGCACUGGAGAACACGUUCUUGUUUUGCAGUUUGGUCACUGUGUAAACGUGAAUUGAGUAGAGCUUCAUGGGGUUGCACAGGAGCCUGCACUUCUCCUGGGAGCAUGGGAAAGGCAAGAGGGGCCAAUGACCACGAGAUGACCACUUCCGUAGGGGAAACACUCUCUGGGUACAAGAUAAAAGUCUGUGGAAGGAAAGAUGGAUCCAGUAAGAAGGUGUAAGCAAGAAUUCAAUAAAUGUGUGCUGAACAAAUAAUCCAGGUUUUUCAAUUCUCCAAUCAAAUUCAACAGAAAGUCAUUGACUACCUGCAGAUUGUAAGAUGGCUUUUGGGGUUGUGGAAAAUUCUGCCUCCUCUUUCUGCCAUACUGGAACUGGCAAGAUUUCUCAAAUCAGCAGGCUGCAGCUGGUGCUUAGAGGCUUAUUCACUGCACAAAAGCCAUGGUCACGGGUACCUCCAGGCUCAUAUCCUCAUUUCCAGAGAAGAAGGGGGCUCUUCUCUCUCAGCCCCAAAUGGAAUCCCUGGAGAAAGACUCGGGAGAGUCCAGCGUGGCCCCAAGUUUACCCUUCAACCAGCUGUGGUGGUCAGAGCUUAGCGAGGGCUUGAUCCCUCUGAACUGGAUCACAUGAUGACAGCAAGGCAGUUUCUAUCCUGCAAAGCUUCAAGAGGACUUGCUGGCCCCAAGGAUCCCAGAUCGUGGUGGCAUAAACACCUCUGAAGGCUUCUGGGAAAAGGUCAGUUCAACUGCCUUUCUUCUCUGUCUCUUCCUUCCUUGCUUGAUCCCCUGGGAGACUC
RNAcentral lists this long non-coding RNA (909 nucleotides) under Bos indicus x Bos taurus (hybrid cattle). RNAcentral's name for it is "lncRNA (ENSBIXG00005030370.1)". Lineage: Eukaryota; Metazoa; Chordata; Mammalia; Artiodactyla; Bovidae. The record is from RNAcentral.